Non-coding RNA from Delphinapterus leucas (beluga whale), 8261 nucleotides. Lineage: Eukaryota; Metazoa; Chordata; Mammalia; Artiodactyla; Monodontidae. The record is from RefSeq and is a predicted model, not a curated record.
AGGCCCGCGUACCGCAAAAAAAAAAAAAAAAAGAAGUACAGAGCUCUGAGGAAUGUUGAACAUUUCGAAUAGCGUGGUUUGCAAGUCUGUGGCCAGGCUCUGCCUCUGUUUGAAUCUGCCCUGGGCUUCAAGGCCUAUCUGAAACUGCCCCUUGUUAAUUUCCAAGCUGCACGCGUGUGCCUUCUCCUGCUUCUGAGCUUCUGUAAUGUUUCAUGUAUAAUGGUUCAGGAGUCUUUGGUUUGGUGGUCUCGAACUUUAAUUAAACUCCAUGUGCUUUCCCUCUAAAAAGCAGGUUUCUUGCGUCUAGGCUGUGUCUUGGUCCCUUUUGCACACUUCUGCUUUACCUAGUAUAGUUCCUCAUAUGUGUUUUCUCCCUGAAACCGUGCUGUCCCCCACCCAUCUUUGGGCAUGCUGGUAUCAUCUUGGUCAGGAACAUUGUCUCCCCACUGCAGGGCUACAUCCUCCUAUCUCUAUGAUUCAGCUCAAGCAUCCCCUCCUCCAGGAAGCCCUCCCGACUCUCUGCCCCUUGGCUUCUGCCCUAGGCUUGUUUCCUUCCAUGGUACUCUGUCUUUUUUACCACGUUUAAUACAUUGGUUUAGAAUGACCUGUUUAUAUCGAACACUAGCCUGUGAGCCCCUCGAGGGUAUAGAUCAUGUCUUAUUCUUUUCUUUUCCCUCGGUGCCAAGGACAUCUCAGCCUGCCUGGGCUCUCCCUGAUUAUUAGGUGAAUACAUGAAUGCCUGACUCCUCUGGUGACAAGUAACAGAAUUGUUCUGGAGCUGGCUUGCUCAAGGAGACUUGAUCACAGGGUACAGGGGCUGAGGUUCAGAAGCCACUGGGGGUAGGGCUAGAAUCUGGGACAGGACUAAAGAGACUCUGGCCCCCUUUAUCUUUGACCUGCUCUGUGUGUCUGCUGUUUCUCUCUCUGCUGUCCGGGUUGCUCUGGUGGAAGAUGCCUUACCCUGAGGUCCUAAGAUUAUCUGGUACAGGUCCAGCCUCUGGAGACAGUCUCUUGGCCCCGUUUCCUAAAUCCACGGGAAAGGGCCUGUGGUCCAUCUUGGGUCUGGUGCUGCCUGUGGAUCGAUCAUCCAUCCCCAUGGAGACAGACUCAUGUUCCCCAGGAGCCUCCCUGUGUCCACGCCAGCGCAGGGCCGGUGAGCAAGGGACACUGUACAGGGGCCACUGUGAACGGGGAGACACUCUCAGAAGCUCCCACUCCAUUUGACAAACCUGGUGACUGGACAUGCCCUGCACAGGAGCCAGGAGGGGUACCAGGCGCCCUCCACCGUGAACUGCAUCUGAGUGGUCUCCCUUCGCUGCUUAUUUCUGGUUUCUGCCAGCCGGUCUGAGGGUGGUAUGGCCGGCGCUUUGCGAUGAGGUGGGCAGAGUGGGAAUGCCCCACUGGCAGCGUCUGGCAUAGCCAGGUGUUUCCUUGGGAACAUUCCCCAUCAAGUCUAAUUCUGGAAGUUGACGGGAAGUAGGCUUUGCCCGGCUCCUUCCCCUGCACCUGAGUCCAGUGAGAAGGCUGGGGGCGGGCAGGGGGCGGCUGGAGCAGCUGUGUGUAUUCGCUCUGAUAGCUUGGAAAGAUGUAUGCGUCCCCUGGGGUGUCCAACAUCUGCGUCUGUAGACUGAGUUGGGCUCUGGCCAGACCCGGUGGCAGUCGGGUGAAUCUGGAUAAAGUCGGGGUCGGCAGCUGCCAAGGCUGACUGACUUCAGGAUCAGAAGGGAGGCACACCUGGACUUGAGCGUCCGCUGGAGGAAAGCGUGCCAGUCACCUGGUCGACACUCCCCUCCCCAGUACUCAGAAAAGAAAAGCGAGGUUCUGGGUGGUGACGGGGGUUAUACCAGGUCACCCACUGGUAGCUGAGAAGCCUUUAGAACGCAGGCCUCCUGGCUCCCAUCCCUGUCUAGAGCGUGCUUCACCACGCCAAGCUUCUCCCUCAUCCUGAAACACUGCCCUUAUCUGUCCUCUGAGCCUUAACACCCCUGAGGAGCUUGCUGGCUGGGCACCUUGGCACGGUGUCCUCCUGUGUAACAUGACAGUGAUGGUAGCCACCCUACGGGAUUGUUAGGAGUGUUGAAAUGCAGCAGGACACACAGUACCCUCGCGUCAGUGCCUGGCGCGUGGUAAGCACUCAGUAAACAUUAGGUGUUACUGAGUCACAGCGAUAACGGGUAAAAUGUGUGCUCUCUUCAAAGAGGCGACACUGUGACUUACAGUCUUAGCAUCUUAGAGAGGAUGCUUCCUGAGAAGUGUUCUAGGAGAUCAGAGGCCCAUUGCAGGUGCUUUAAGUCUUCCAUUUGUAAAGCUUACAUACAUGGCAAUCCCCUAGGGCCCCUGUUAAAAUUCGGAUUCUGAUUUAGUAGCUCGGGGGUGGGGCCUGGGGUUCUGCAUUUCUAAUAUGCUCCCUGAUGAUGUUGGUCCUUGGGGACCAGAGUUUGAAUAGCAAGGAGGCGCAGGGACUGUAGAUUUCAGAUUGUACCUUGUCAGAGCUUUAACCCGGGCUGCUAAAGAAAGAAAAGCUACAGAGAAUGCUACCUGCCUGUGCCAUUUUCUCAUUUUUAAAUUAGCCUGGCUUCAUUUCUAGGUGAUGUUGGGGAUAUUGCUAGAAGUUUAUAUUCAGGAUGUGAUGAAGUACCUUAUAAUCUCAGUAGUGAGACACAGAUGUCCUAUGAAUUAUUUGCUCUCCUCGCUGGGUCACUGGAGGUGGUUUCACUCCCCUUAUCACGAGUCAGCUCGUUACUGAGGGCAGCCCUGUGGCAGCCAACCACCCAUAUCUAUCCUCCCCUUCCUUACUAACCAAACCUCAAUUUUAUUUGAGGCAGGAGUGUGUUAACAAAACUUUAUUUCCCAGUCUUGAUGCAGAGGAAUGGACAAUGAGAUAGAAGCAAAGUCAUUAGGUAGGGCUUACAGAAAAGGUUUUUAUUCACGGAGGAUUUACUCCACCGUCAGGUAACCUUUCCUCUUACUUCCUGCCUGGAACACAUACAGAAUGACUGGAACUCAGCAGCCAUCUUAGGACAUGAGGCAACCUCAAGGAUGGAAGUCACAUGGUGAGGAUGGUGGGGCAAAAAAACAGAGCUGUGGCACAUUGAUGGUACCACAAGCCCUUCCCUACUUAACUCCAGACUUCCUUUACAUUAAAACAAACAAAAAAUCCGGUUGUUUCAGCCAGUAUUUGACAGGUUUCCUAUUACGUGAAGGGUGCUAAACCCAGUGGUAACUGAUCCCACUAGAGCAGGUGCAGUUUAGCAGGGCAGACACGGGUUUAAAUCUGUGUCUAAAACUGUCAUCCUUCUGAGCAUCCUUUGUGGGAUCCCCUAGUCAUGUAGAGGCAGGGGAACUGGAUUGAGGGUCAGAAGCCCAGGGUGCUCAGCUCAGCUUUGCCAUUUCCUAGUGGUAUGAUCCUGUUCCUUUAACCUCAGUCCCCACCCCCGUAAAGUGGGGCGAUGGAUGACAGAGUCCAACAUAGUGCGAGGUGCAGAACUCACUCUGCCGGUGUUGGGUGAGGGGUGGGUCUCAGGAUGGAGAGGAUGCAAAGACCAACUGGCUGCUGUGAGCAGCGAGGGGCCGUGCAGGGGUGCAGCUCGGGUGCAGGCACUGAUGCACCUUUCAGUGCUUCCAUUAGAGGUGCCCACCUUGGUGCCCCGAGGGCCACGGAGCACUGCAGCCUCUGCUGGAACCGAAAGGGCUUGGACUAAGUGCCCCGUCUGCAUGAAUGAGAGGCUGGUUUUGUUCAGAGGAAGUGGGGGUGGCACAAGUAGCCUUCAGCCGGCCCUUGGGAAGCCUGCCUCAGGCCUUCCUCCACCAGCUCCUGAGCUUUAAGCCGAGGCCUGCGAGGUGGCUGGCAGCAUCUCGGCUCCAGCACUGCUUUGCUGCUGAAACCCACAGGACUGUGCCCCAGCUCCUAACUUUGGAGCAGCCGGAUGGGCUGGGGGCGUCAGCAGUGAGUGUGCAUUCUCUCCUGCUGCCUGGAACCUGCAGUGAGAUGUCUUCAACCACAGCACAGCUGUCCACACCUCCUUCAUCCAAACCAGAGCACCUUUUUGCUGCCACUUUCUCUCAACCGUCUUCCACACCUGAAGCCAUCUCUCUCCAUCUUCCUCUCUUGCCCACCCCAAUUCCUUACGUUGGGCACCUGCACUAUUUCCACUCACGGUGCCAGCUGGUCCCUGGAGGGCAAAAACCAUGUCCUUACGAUGAACUGAAACUAUGAAGAGGCAUCUUAUCUCCUUGCACACAGAGAAUGGAGAGCAGAGGCCGAAAUAGGACUGCUGGCAGCUGGCGAGGGGACCUCUCACAGCUGGGCCACGUGGGGCUCCAUCUUUCUGACCAGCCGCUAGAUGGUCUGAAAAUGCCUGCAUUUCCUUACUGCAGCCUCUUCCUAGAUUUCUUGAUAUGAUUGAAACAAGGUCCGUCUGAGUGGACAUGGUCCACGUGGGGCAGUUUCCUUGCUCAGGGAUGACAGAGGCAACCAGCACAGCUGAAGAGACGGGCUUGCCGCCUCCUGGGUGGAGACUCUGAAAUCACAGGCCUCAUAAGGAUGUAGCCUCGCGUGGGACCCCCCUGUGAGACCCGCCCUGGACAAGGUGUCAAUGACAACCAUCCUGCUUCAGGCUGGUUGGUUACAUUUUCCGACCCUGGAGAAGGGGCCUUUUGUAGGAGACGUCCUACGCAUCCCAGCAGUGCACUCACCUCUGGUCACCAGAGCUGUAUGUAUGCUGUAGGGGUGCCCCCUAUGUGGGCUGCCUGGGUUCUCCUGUUGUGGUCAGCUGACUGCUGCUGGCAGUCUAGUAGGUAUGGCUGGCCCCUGGUCCAGUUCAUUGCCAGGCUGCUGGUUGGUAGGGCUGGGUCCUGAGACAGUUGGCUGUGGAAUCUCAGAGUGUCCUAGGGCUAGGGCUGGCCCACUGGUGGGCAGAGCUGCAUUCUGGGGGUGGGGACUGGGGUUCCCAGAUCUAGUGCUGACCUGCUGGUGGGCAGGGCCAUGCCCCAGGGGGUCCUGGGGCUGGUGCUUGCCCACUGGUGUGUGGGGCUGGUCCUGGGGUUAGUGUUGGCAGUCUGGUGGGCAGAGCUGGAUCCUGGUGUCCGGCUGCAGGGAUUGGGGGUCCUGGAGCUGGUGCUGGCCCACUGGUGGGUGGGUCCCAGGGCUAGUGUUGGCACACUGGUGUAUGGGGUUAGGUCUUGGGCCCUCUGGACAGGGCUGUGUCCCUGGGCAGCUGUGGGCUCAGGGGGUCUUAAGGCAGCAGCCCUGCUGGUGGGCGGGUCUGUAUCCCCACCCUGUUACUUGCGUGGCCUGAGGUGUCCCAGUGCUAUUCCUGACAGGCUGACUGGCAGAGCAGCUAAGAAGCUGGUGCUAAGAAGCUGGUGGAGAGGAUUCCAAAGUGGUGCUUGCCAGCCCCGGUGUUCUCCUGGUAGACAAGCUCCCCAAAAUGGCUGCCACAGUGUCUGUGACCCCAGUGUGAGUUCCAGUUGCCUCCUGCCUUUCUGGAAGGCUCUCCAAGAUCAGCAGUGGUAGAAGAUCUUUUCUGCUAGAUUCCAGUCUCUCUCAUCAGCAGUGGCUCUGCAAACAGUUGUAAUUUUGUCGUUCCCAUGAGAGGAGGCCAGAGCCUGUUGGAGCUGUUCUUACUCGAGUCCUUUCACUCCCCGAGGCAGCUGUAGUCAAGUUCUGACUUAAGGUCAGAGAACUCUGGAGUGAGGAGGCGGCAGAACGAUGGAGAAGCUCUUCGCCUGCAACCUGCACUCCUUUCUGUAAACUGCUUGCUGCCGCUCUCUGCUGUGGCCCCGCCGGCUUGGCGUCCCUCUUCCUGCACAGCUUGCUGUUUUGCUGAUGCGCUGACCUACCCCUUCCCCCGACCCCUCCCCCAGCCAAACCAAGAAUUUUCGGCGGUUCCUGCUGGUGGUCGAUAAAACAACACAGGAGUCAAGGAAAUGAUCUGUUUUUAAGACUUUUUUUUUUUUGGUUUGUUUUUAAAGAAACUGCAUACAUCAUUAGAGACGAACAAUAAUUUAAAUACCAUGCAGUUUCUGUAUGUACAAAACCUAGGCCAUAGAUAGAGACCCAGUUUAACUUGUGUUCUCUUCACACGGUCUUCCUCAUACGGCCGGUGGCUGUUAAAGCAGAACACAGGAGAGUUCUCUGAUACAAAGACAGACUAGGUACAGACACCCGGGAAGCAACUGGAAAAAAGCAACCGGCUUGGGGAUCAACAGACAACUGGGGAGAAAAAGUUGUUUAAGGUGACCUUCGCCCACUGGCUGUGCACAGGGAGGGCCUGAAAUUCCAUUCACCGAAGCACACACCAUGAUUUUCAUUCGGCAAAUAUAAAUACACGUUCAUAAGCAGGAGAAAAAUAAGCUCGGAGGUUUUCAUCACAUCAACCGUCACGUCGUUUGGUUUCUCUAACCUGACAUAAAGGCUAAAGUUUUACAGAGCUUUGAGGGCCUUUGGGGAGGGAAAUAUCAACAAUUUCGAAACACUAAGUAGGCUGAUGGCCGUCUCUUCUGUCAUGGAUGGGGUGGGGACUUUGGGGCGAUUUGAUUUCGAGAGGGGAACAUUUUGAGAACUCUCAACGUUUUUCUUCUGAUGCUAAUGCAAAUGAAAAAGGCUCUAACUGCAGCUUUUCCAGAAAAGGGAUGCUUUGUAAACCAGCCAGCCCAUCUUCUCUUUCCCCCUUAAUAUGGAAUCGUCAUCUUGGAAAGAAAGAAACACAUUUUUCCAUUGUCAUAACAACGUGGCAAAAAGGAAAUUUGGAUAGAUUUCUAUAAAGACCUCAAGACUUCAAGGAAGGAAAGACAGCAGAGGGCUCAUCCUGUGGCCUACGGAAGUUGCGGAGCUGCUUACAGCGGGCUUGGAAGAGCCCAGCUCGCGGGUGGUGACACGGGAGGGGCACCCUUCCACUUGCAGGGAGUUACUUCGGGAAAAGGCUGCCCUGCAGGAGAAGUGGAAACUGCGUUCGGCUUCUUCCACGCACAAAGCGGCUGCAACCGUAGGGCACUUUGGGCGGGAACCCGGGACCGCUGGCUAGCUGCGGGGAACUCGAUUUAGGCAUCGUGUUCCCGGGGAAUCUGAAAGGCCUGGAACCACGGCCAGCAGAGAAGCCACUGGCCUCUGCAAGGCGUCCAGGCAGUGGAGUGAGGUCCCUUAGGACUCGCUCCUGGGCCAGGGGCAGGCUGACUGUUGCUCCAGGCCACCGCGAGCCACAGGAAGCCCAGACUCAGAUCCUGGCCCGGCGGGCACCUCAGCCUGGAAGACUCGCCCGCCGUGGAGGAGUUACACGGCAGAGCCCCACGUCCCUCGGCGUGCCAUCUGCACUUUCAAAGGUCAGUAAGCCUUUCGGGAAGACGCCAUUUACAGCCACGCUACAGCCCUGGCCACAUCUUCCCUGAAUCAGUCACCCCACCCACGGCCGUAGCUAUGCAGAUUCACCAUUCAAAGAAAAAAGGAUGGGGUGACACGUCCUCCUGGGGCUGGGCGCCAGGCGCUGCGAGGAAAGCGUGCGCCAGCUUGGCACCAGCCGGCGGGCACUGACUGGAACGCUGCCCCGAGCUCCCUGCCAAGUGCACGGUGACGCCGGCCACAGGGGCCGUGAGCGCCAGCGGAAAAGGAACUGGCCUCACCCAUGGCUGUGGAGCCCAAGAGUAAAUUGAUCCCACGCGUUUUGGGGUGGGGACCAGUUAACUCUUUUUUUGUGAAGCCCAAGCUUGGCAGCUUUCUAAAGCCUGGGCCUCUGUGGUGGGGAGCAAGCCAUCACUGGGAGAGCUGGUAGGAACUACAGGAUCAUGGCAGGAUGCCAGGCAGAGCUGCAUGGCUGAGGGCCCUACAGGCUCCAUCAGGAAGGAAACCGGAAGCAGCUCAAGCGGCCUCCUUCAGAGCGCAGUCAGGGUUUGGAGAGGCCCCUCCUCCACUGCACAUCCUACCCUCACCUACCCUGUCACCGCUGCUUUCCUGUGGUCCCGAGAGAGGAGGGUGGUCAGAGGUACAUCUCCAGUCACCCUCACCAGCAUCAAGGGGGAGAGGAAGGAUGCUCCCCAGAGAAGCAGGCGUGGAAGGUCCAGCACAGCAGGUGUGGCUGGCGUCUGCCCAGCGCUGGGGCUUCUGCACAGACUCUUCAGUGCAAAGCAAGCCUGGAAGGCCCUCAGGUGGUUCUGGAGGACCAGUCCACCAGCGGCUGGAAAUUCAGCCUUUCAGGAAUGGUUUCUGGCCUGCAGGCAUCGGUCCUCGACUCAAAGGCCAUUAACGGCCAAGCCACCCGGUCACCAGC